RNAcentral lists this long non-coding RNA (2010 nucleotides) under Phaseolus vulgaris (common bean). Its description in RNAcentral is "long non-coding RNA (PVUL_LNC005260)". The record is from RNAcentral. Lineage: Eukaryota; Viridiplantae; Streptophyta; Magnoliopsida; Fabales; Fabaceae.
CUUCAACGGAUUCAACGCUUACUGGUUAAUGUUUAUGGCAUCUGAUCCAUCCACAAGGCCCAAGGUCGCUUCCAUUUUGCAAGAAGCUUCCAGCCAUGGCUUAACUGUUGCUAGAACUUGGGCUUUCAAUGAUGGAGCUUACAGAGCCCUUCAGGUUUCUCCUGGUUCCUACGACGAGAAAGUAUUCCGGGUCAGUGUAUAUAUAUUAAUUGAAUCCAUCUUCCAUUAAUCUUUUUAAUGCAAUCUCAGAUGUGAUUUUCUGCAGAACUAGUUCUCAUUUUUUCUGCUAGAAAUCUUAAUGAAAGAUUAAAGAAACUUUGUAUUUCAUCCUUCUAAUCUUACUCUUAAACUAAGUUAUGUGGGUUUUUGGAUAACUAGUUCUGAUUUUCCCAUCAUUUUCUUCCUACAUAACAUGGCAAGAAAUUAAUUAUAUAUCCCAUGGUGAUGAAGUAGUGCAUGCGUGUUGCGUAGGGUUUGGACUUUGUGAUAUCAGAAGCAGGAAAAAAUGGGGUACGGUUGAUACUGAGCUUGGUGAACAACUGGAAAGAUUUUGGUGGGAAAAAUCAGUAUGUGGAAUGGGUAAAGAAGGAGCAUGGCGAGUACGUGAACAGUGAAGAUGAUUUCUUUACGCAUCCUGUAGCCAAGCAACACUUCAAAAACCAUAUCAAGGUAACUAUAUCCAACCAUGCAUGCACCACUAUAGCCACAACAACUAUAGUAGUGGUGGGCCACCUAAUUGUUUGCGUCUAGUUUCUCCCAUUGCAAGCAUAAUUAGCUUUUCUAUAAAUGUAAACAUCACCUCACUGUCAAACAUUAUUACCAAAUGACACGUUUAAUGCUUUUUCAUCCAAAGACUAAUCAAUCUCAGAGAUUAAUUAGUUUUCAGCUUUUUUAUGCAUUUAAAAAAUAAUUAUCACCCCACUUACCAUCAUAAUGUUCAUUAAGCAAUUCAAAUUUAGCUAAUUAAUACUUUGUGGUUUACAAAAUAUGCAGGCUGUGCUGACAAGAAAAAACGCAGUAAGUGGGGUGGCAUAUAAGGACGAUCCUGCCAUAUUUGCAUGGGAACUUAUGAAUGAACCCCGUUGCCAACAAGCCAACUCUGGAAAAGUUAUUCAGGUCCUUUCUCAGUUGCUCUCAUGCUAAUAGUAGUUUAGAUAUUACCAAACAUCAUAGUAUAUGCAUAAUAACUGGCCACACACGUAACACACAUAUGUGAUUCCUUUUGUUUGGCUUUCUUUCUUGACAUUUAUUUGACAGCAUUGUUGUCAUGUUAUUCCUUUCCUUGAAUUCAAGAUUCCCAAAUGAAAUAGGCCACAGAUUUUGGAAGGGCCAAACUCAAUAUUAUCGCUGUGAUGUGGACACUGAUUAAUUAAUUGUCAGGAAAUAUAAAAAUAAUUAAACUUGGUCGUUAAUUAUGCAAAUAUAGAUAUAGAUAAUUAUUCUAUAUGCAGAUGAGAAUAUUAAUAUAUGUAUCUUGUGCAUUUGCAGGAAUGGGUGAUUGAGAUGGCUGCAUACGUCAAAUCCAUCGAUAGUAAUCAUUUGCUUGAAAUAGGACUGGAAGGGUUCUAUGGUGAAGGAAAAAAACAAUUAAAUCCUGGGUAUCAACUUAUUGGCACUGAUUUCAUUUCUAACAACCUAGUUCACCAAGUCGAUUUUGCUACCAUGCAUCUCUACCCUGAACAAUGGUACGCACGACAUAUAAUAGUAAUAAUUAUGUGCACAUAUAUUUUCACUGAUAAAAUGAUAUUAAGAAGAAAAGUAAUAAAUGCAGGCUGCCAGGUUCAAAUGAAGCUGCUCAGGUUGCAUUUGUUGACAAGUGGCUACAGACACACAUUGAGGAUGCGAAAAAUGUUCUGGGGAAACCUGUUGUUGUUGGUGAGUUUGGGAAGUCUUGUAGGUCAUACAGUGUGGCUGAAAGGGACAGUUACUUGAGCAAAAUGUAUAAUGCCAUAUACAGUAGUGCUAGCAGUGGGGGACCCUGUGCUGGAGGGCUUUUUUGGCAGCUCAUGG